RNAcentral lists this ribosomal RNA (253 nucleotides) under uncultured bacterium. RNAcentral's name for it is "partial 16S ribosomal RNA". It matches the Rfam family "Bacterial small subunit ribosomal RNA", at positions 524 to 776 of the family's 1533-position model. The record is from RNAcentral.
UACGAAGGGGGCUAGCGUUGCUCGGAAUUACUGGGCGUAAAGCGCACGUAGGCGGAUUGUUAAGUCGGGGGUGAAAUCCUGGAGCUCAACUCCAGAACUGCCUUCGAUACUGGCGAUCUCGAGUUCGGGAGAGGUGGGUGGAACUGCGAGUGUAGAGGUGAAAUUCGUAGAUAUUCGCAAGAACACCAGUGGCGAAGGCGGCUCACUGGCCCGAUACUGACGCUGAGGCACGAAAGCGUGGGGAGCAAACAGG